UUUAUAUAUCGGCAGCAAAUAUUCUUAAAUUGGAAUGAUACAUAGAAGAUUAGCAUGGCCCCUGCUCAAGGUUGACACGGUGACUGGAAGGUUGCCGGUCCAAAUCCCG
Small nuclear RNA from Lepisosteus oculatus (spotted gar), 109 nucleotides. The record is from Ensembl. NCBI's taxonomy places the organism in Eukaryota, Metazoa, Chordata, Actinopteri, Semionotiformes, Lepisosteidae.